RNA transcript from Lagopus muta (rock ptarmigan), 5540 nucleotides. It is a transcript of the gene named maternal embryonic leucine zipper kinase-like, with no coding region annotated. The transcript has 5 exons. The record is from RefSeq and is a predicted model, not a curated record. Lineage: Eukaryota; Metazoa; Chordata; Aves; Galliformes; Phasianidae.
CCCUCUUUCCCUCCCCAGAGAGCGAUUAAAGGCAGUGCAGCUCAGAUACGCUCACUUGGUUCCCCUCCUGAAUUCUGCUGGGUUGCGUUGCUCAGUAGCUCUCAGAAGCUGUCAAUGGCCACAGACUGAAAAGUGCAAUGGGCCGCAGUUCACACAGCUGGCUGGUUUGUCUCUGGCUGAUCCUCAUCUGUCUCCACCAAUUGUUCCCUACUUUGGGGCUCUGUAAAACAGCAACUUCAGAGAUCUCCUACUAUUAGUAAGUUUUUGAAAGAGCAAUUUGCUCUGCUUAUUGUCCAUCAUUGGUCAAACUCUUGUGCGGUCUCAGGAUCUUACAUGUUUUGUUAGACUUGUCUUUAGCUUCCAAGUUGUGUUGAAGACUUGCUUCCACUGUGAUGCUCAAUGUACUAAAAAUUGAGAGAUGAAAACGUGAAGAGUUUUUCCAGCCUUGAUUUCAUGUCUAGAACUUUGGAACCCACUACUUGCAGUUGUUCAACUGGUCUGGUUUGAAAUGCCCUGGUGCUUGUUGAAUUGCUCUGCUGUUAAAGAUGGAGCAAUUCUUUCGGGUACCAUUGCACCGCUGUUGAUGGCUUCUAAUUCUUGCUUUCUUUGUUUUCCACAGACUGCUUUUCAAGCCUCCUUUUUCUUUACAGUCAAAGUGAGAAUUGCACUGUGAGGCGUAGAGCCUUGUUGUGCCUGUACAUAAAGAGAACAGCAGCAGAGCCUCACAGCUGACUGCUGGCAGCUCUCGUUGUAGCCAGUAGCACAUAACUGUGCCAAAUCCUUUGUGAUGGGUUUGAUUUCAUUUUUGCCAGUGAAAUCCUUGUAGGUAUAAGGUACUGCAGAAGGGUGAUGAGCUAAGAUGGAGAUACUGGUUUUCGUGGUGCUUUAAGUUGAGCGGAAGAGCAAUUGAAUUAGGGUCAUAUGCUUUGUCUGGAGCCAUAAGGUUUUUUUCCUGGGGGAAAGAGCCAGCUUUUCAUAGGCUGCAUGUGGCCUUUGGCAAGGGCAGACAAUGCAGUCUGUCAGUAAGGCAUUUUAGGUGCUUCAGGUUUGUAAACUUGUCCUUUUAUUUUUCAGGCAGAUUUUUGGAGCAUGGGUGCACUGCGGUACGCUCUGCUGUGUGGGUUUCUUCCUUUUGACGAUGGCAGUGUGAUGGCACUCUACAGGAGGAUAACAGGAGAGAGGAAAAGACACUGUUCCAAAAUGGCUUUCCCCUAGCAGCACGCUGCUACUUGACCAACUGCUGCAGGCACCUUGAAGUUGUUAGGAAAAGAAUAACUGUCUGCAGUUCUUCUCGGUGAUGUAAGUAACAGCUUGAAUGUUGCUGCCCACUAGGCAGACCCAAAGAAGCAGAUGACAGUUAAACUCCUGUGAAAUCACCCUUGGCUCAUGCAAGGUUAUUCUGGUGCUGUUCAGUGGCAAAGUAAAUACCCAGUAAGUACACGCACUCGAAGAAGCCUAAGUAUGUUCUGGAGUCUUUCCUGGACCACUGGCAUCCUCUCAGAAUGGGAGUGAUAACACAUUUCUUCAGAGGCUGCUGACAAGUGGUGACUCUCCAGGGUCCAUUUUGGCACCUUCAACACCUUUGUCAGUGACAGAGAGAAUGGAACUAGAGAGCACCUUCAGAAAGCUUGCAGGCAGCCCCGUGCUGAGAGGUGCGGUGGAUCAAACAGGAGGUAGGGAUGUCUCAUCCUGGUGGCAUUCAGGGCCGGGUUGGAUGAGGCCCCGGACAGUUUGAUCUGGUGAGUUGCAGCUCUGCAACUUGGAGCUUGAUGGUCUUUAAGGUCCCUUCCAACUCAAGCCGUUCUAUGAUUCUCUGGAACUGUGCUUGUGCUCCUUAUCUCUCAAUUGUCUGACCUGUGUGAGAGGUUGGGGUAGCGGGGUUGGGGUGGGAAUUGGGGGUGCGAGGGAGAUUCUUGCUGCAGAUACUGAGAAGUUGCUGUGUAUUUGCAGCCAAUGGCUGCUGCUGGCCUCUGGGUGCCACUGUUUCUCUGAAGAACAGCUGUGCUGAUGGUACACCACUGUGCUGUGCAUGCCGUGCAACUGAAUAAUUAAGAGGGGACAGAGGUGUAACUUGUGCUCUAGUGAAAAUCUCAUCUGCUGACAGGCUUUUGUACUUGAAUGCAGAACCUGUUGCCACAGAGGGACCAGUUGCUGAAGCGUGGUGACUCUUUCUGUUUACUCCUUGCAGUAUUUAGCCCUGAUGCUAACUAUUUAAAAUAGAAAAUCUGAAAUGGUGGCUAACUAUUGGCUUGAUUGGUGCAUAUCAGAAGACUAUCAUGGUGAUAGUGGCUCUGUGAGAUGACUUGGAAGCUGUUUCUUCAGUACAGGUCUUGUUCUUGCAGCUGGGGCACCUUGAUGAAGACUGUGCAACAGAACUUGCUGUGUUUCACAACCAGAGCAGAGAGAGUAUAUUGGCAUUAAUAUCAGAGGUGGAAUCGUGACCAGAUGUCACAGCCUAUCUCUUGCUUCAAUCCAGGAAGGUUCGUGGCAAGCGCAUCCACUUAAGGAUUCCAUCACAAACGACGUGCAGUACAACACAGCCAGCAAGCCAGGGAAGAAUCUCAACUGAACACUUCUUUUCAGUCUGAAAAGGCUGUGACAUCUGAAGAUGUGCCAGGUUGCAGCCAUGUGCCACAUGCAUUUGGAUCCAUGGAAUUUGCUGAUGGAACUUCAUUGUUUGAAGAAUCUCCACUAGAAGAGUUUGUUCUAAAUGCUCACAGAACAAAGCAGGUGUCUGAAGAUCCAGUGCUAGUUUCUGACAGAAAAAAAUACAAUUCUUAAUCCAGAAAUCUGCUUCUCAGUGUGUAUAAUGCUUAUUACAUAUUUAAGUAUUUAGAGGACCUUGACCAAAGGGAGAUACAGAUUGAGCAAAGAAGUAUGUUGAGCAUAAAUUGUGAUGCCUUCUACCUGAAAGCCAUGGUUCAUUUGAUGAGAACCUUAACUUCAGUGUUCGGUUUGCACUGAAACAGCGAGUAAGGAAACAAGCGAAGGAGUCAGUGAGGAUUUUAAAACAAAAUGGGAAGUGAUAAGGCACAGUUAAUAAGAUUUUGGAGUUAGGCAAGAGGUGGACAGAGCUUUAAAUGUACCGACAGAAAUUCAAUCUCUCUGUAUUGGACAAGAAAACCCACAGUGAAGCAAUUCAAAUUUCGCAGCUAAAAAAGUGAUAAUUCAUAGCUAUGUUUAGAUAAGCUGGUGAGGAGUAAUCCUAAAUGUAGAAUUUAGAUGAACAGAUAGAAAAAUGGCACUUGACAAUCUAUAAGAAGCAAACUCAUUUUAGGGGAGAAUCAGAGGUACUGAAGAGUUUUUAACUACUUUGCUCAAUAGACAAGUAGUGUAGGAUGUUUUUAUGAGCAUUGUGUCUGACCUGCUUAGAUGUUAGAAUUUCCUUGACAGUGACUUCUCUGGAUGUGAUUGCAGUACCUGGCAGCAUUCAAGGUGUGAUACUCAGCUGGGCGAUAUGGAAUUCACACUGUCAGCUCCAGUGACAGGAAAAGUGGCAUCUAUGAAGCAUGCAAAGAAAUGUGGAUGCAGAGUCAGCAUUAAGAAAUGCGCUGCCCUUUGCACUUCCUGCUUCAAAGGCCUCCUUUCCAAAGAGUGAGACACAGAAGCAAGUGCAAGGCAAACCCCUCCAGGCACCUCCUUCCACAGGUAUGUUGUGUCUAACAGAUGAGAACCUAGAACAUGUGUAGCUUAGGGAUUUUUUAAAUUCAAACGUGAACACAAUACUUGUAGAUCCUAACCUUCUGUUUCUGGAAGAUGUAGGUUUGGGGUUUUUUUGGUCACAGCGCAUGUAUUCACCAGCCUGUACAUCUGACAGUGCACAGCAAGAGGUUUAGCCAUAUGUCAGGGCAGGUUACUCGUCUGUUCAUUACAGAGGUUCUCACGGUUUCACAAGGAGGUGCCUUUAGAUGCAUCCAGAUAAUGAGACAAUUGCUGUUCCUAAAACUGGCACGUGGUUCCACUUCUCGUGGAGAUCUAGGAGAAAAUUUCUUCAACGUUCAUUAUGGUUUUUUGUUUUCUUCUGGGCUGCUGUGUUGAGUGAAAGAAAAGGGUAAAUGCUUUUAUUUAACUGUGCUCUUAUUGCAUCUUGCUUCUAAAUGAAAUGUAACCUGUACUUUCACAUAUCUGCUUGGUGUGGCAUUGAAAAUACUGAGGCUAGCAAUGUUAACAGCUGCAUUUACGUGAUGGACCAGAAACGUGUCCAUGCUGUAUCAGCUCCUCUGGGUUACAGAGAUGUUUGUCCUCAUCCUUUGUGUUGAUACUGCACGUGUUCACUCUGCCCUUUAAAGUAUUAAGCGCUUCUUACAGUUGAAGAUUCUUCUGUUCCAAGUGCUAGGGAAUAUUGUUGAGAAAUGCUCCAUCUCUGCAGGCUAAUAUGUUACUAAGAGUCACUGAACAUACCACUUUCCUUUGCUAAGUGUUCAACGAAGCGCAUUACGAAGGCUGGUUGUUCACACAGGUUUUAUUUUUGUCUUAAGACUGCAUGUGGUAACUUCUGAUGUUGGUCUUAUGGCAAGCUUAAAAAGUGAAAGUAGGUAUUUCUUACGUGAGAAGUGCAGAAGUGUGAUUUCAGCUCAUUUCUGUUAGAUAUUCCUGAGAGUUAAGCAAUUAAAAUACUGUUGUUGUUCUAUUGGAAGUUCUUGCAUUCAGGAUAGUUAAAGCAGUGCUUAGAGAUAUAACAAUAAAUGGUGGGAGUAUCUCUUGGAAGUGUUGAGAACAUGGCUGUCUGGGGCCAACUGCUGCUAUGGAAAGCUGAAUCUUCGAGCUGUAUUGAGUUGUCUCCACAAAUGCAAAGCUGCUCCACAGAGCUCUUUUCCAACACAUGGGCAAUAGAACUUUUUAGGCCGUUAUUCAACAUGUAGUAUUAACUGUGGUGAUGCAACUCGCACCUUUCACAUAAAGGAAAAUGCUUGAUGUGGAAUGCAACCUUUUGACAUAGUAAAUUCCUCAGUGUUUGUCCUGAGACCAGUGGCAGAACAAGAAGCCAGUUCUGGUCCUCAUCCCUUCCAAACUGUAGUACUGCACUGCGCCGGCCCCUCAAAGACUUGAAUACAGAGCUCAGGGGGGAUCAGUCUCAGUUUUCUGUUUAGUCUUGUUGUUCUAGUUAAAACCUAUUUUAUCACGCUGAAGAUGCAGACUAGAGAUAGAUAGGAGGCUGGCUUUAAAAAAGUAAUUGCUAAUCGUGAGAAAUCCUGACUGAAGAGAAGUCAAUCCUCUACUGCAGAAACAUACCUGCUUUGGUUUGGAUACUUUCUUUCAGAGAGCCAGUGCACGACAGUCAUCGCAGUUAAGAAGCCCAAAACACCAGCAAAUACGUAUGAACUGACAGCAACUGAGGUUCUUCCUGAGAGGAGGUAAGUGUGCAGUUAUCUGUAUAUGUUCUUGGUUUAGAGCAGUGCUACCUCAAUCAGUGAACAGCCUAGGAAGCAUUGUUCACAACAGCAAGCUGUAUUUCCUUUCUCUUGGUUAAAAUUCUCCUAAAACCUCUUGUAUUCCCUGGGAAACACUGAAAGCAGAAAAUAAAAAUUAAAACUAGAAGU